This 469-nucleotide ribosomal RNA is filed under the name uncultured bacterium. RNAcentral describes it as "bacterial SSU rRNA". It matches the Rfam family "Bacterial small subunit ribosomal RNA", at positions 28 to 490 of the family's 1533-position model. The record is from RNAcentral.
GACGAACGCUGGCGGCGUACUUAACACAUGCAAGUCGAGAGGUAAGGCCCUUUCGGGGGUACACGAGCGGCGAACGGGUGAGUAACACGUGGGUGACCUGCCCUCAGCUCUGGGGAUAAGCCUGGGAAACCGGGUCUAAUACUGGAUAUGACUCCAUGACGCAUGUUGUGGGGUGGAAAGCCUUGUGCGGCUGAGGAUGGGCCCGCGGCCUAUCAGCUUGUUGGUGGGGUGAUGGCCUACCAAGGCGACGACGGGUAGCCGGCCUGAGAGGGCGACCGGCCACACUGGGACUGAGACACGGCCCAGACUCCUACGGGAGGCAGCAGUGGGGAAUCUUGCGCAAUGGGCGAAAGCCUGAUCCAGCGAUGCCGCGUGUGUGAAGAAGGCCUGCGGGUUGUAAAGCACUUUCAGUAGGGAAGAAAAGCCGAGUGCUAAUAUCAUUCGGCCUUGACGUUACUUACAGAAGAAG